This is a small nuclear RNA of Otolemur garnettii (small-eared galago), 164 nucleotides long. Its record names the gene U1. It matches the Rfam family "U1 spliceosomal RNA". From Rfam's summary of the family: U1 is a small nuclear RNA (snRNA) component of the spliceosome (involved in pre-mRNA splicing). Its 5' end forms complementary base pairs with the 5' splice junction, thus defining the 5' donor site of an intron. There are significant differences in sequence and secondary structure between metazoan and yeast U1 snRNAs, the latter being much longer (568 nucleotides as compared to 164 nucleotides in human). NCBI's taxonomy places the organism in Eukaryota, Metazoa, Chordata, Mammalia, Primates, Galagidae. The record is from Ensembl.
UAUCUUAUGUGGUAGGGGAGAUACUGUGAUUACAAUGAUGGUUUUUCAAAGAUGAAGCUUAUCAAUUGCACUGCAGAUGUGGUGACCCCUGUGAUUUCUACAAAUAUGGGAAAUUUGACUAUCUAAUUUGUAGUAGUGGGGGACAAUAUUAAUGCUUUCCUCUA